RNAcentral lists this long non-coding RNA (1741 nucleotides) under Ooceraea biroi (clonal raider ant). RNAcentral describes it as "uncharacterized LOC105280210". Lineage: Eukaryota; Metazoa; Arthropoda; Insecta; Hymenoptera; Formicidae. The record is from RNAcentral.
GUGACGGGGGAUGCUAGUGUUAAAUACUUGCCACCAAUUUCGUCAUUAUUAUUUUAUUACUAACACUGAGAAUUACUUUAUCUUGCGAAUUAUGUUUUUCCAAUCAUUUCAUGUACUUUAAACAUUAAAAUAUACAGUUACUGUAUUUAAGUAUUUCUAGUAUUUUUAUUUUUCUCCCAUAAUAUUUCUUUUAUUUUUAAACGUUACAUAUACAUUCCAAACAUAUGUAUGUAAGAUGCUAAAUACAUAUAUAAUAGUAGAAAAAGAAAUAGUAUUUAGAUACUAACAAAAAUGUUACGUAGUUAAUAGAGACAUACGAAAACAGAUCAAGCACAGAAUAUCGAAAACUGUCAAUAUCUGUAUGUCACUAUGUCAGUAUCAUAAUAUCUGUAUGUUUGAACAAGAAAUGUAAAUGUCAUACGAUUAUUGUCGUUUACGCAAUUUUUCACGAAAAAUUUCUGCAACACCAAAAAUUCGGGAAUAGAUAGUAAAGAAAUAAGUAUUAAAAAGGAUAGAAAAAGAUACUUCUAUUCAAAAUAUACGUUACUGUUUUAUUUUGCUUUAUGUAACUGUAAGCUAUUAUUUUACUUUGAAUAACGGUUCCAUUUGAAUACUUUUCCAUAUACGUAUAGUUACUUUUUCUCACGUUCUCCCUUAGAAGUAAAUAUGUUGACAAUUGAUACCUAAUAGAACACAAAUAAACCUCCCUUCCAUAGCGUGCUAGGAAUCUCAUAAACAUCAUAUUAUGAAGCGCUUAUUAUUUUUGUAUCGCUGAUACAGAGGACAGCUUCGUAUUUGGGAAGGUGAGCAAAUGAUUACUGUUUCAAUACCUUAGUUUCUCUGUGCCAAGAACGAAUUACAAACUUGAUCUACAGUAUCACAAUAUUAAGAAGACUAAACAAAAUAAAAACAAAAGAAUACAGCAGGCUCCCUAUUUCGAGAUUUCGAAGCAGCACUAAUUUGAAAAAGCGUUAAAUAACAUCUGCCGCAAAUAUAAGCAGUAGUGUUCACAAUGCUACUAUCUCUGCUAUAUACAAUAGUCGCAAUAAUAACCUUACUAAUGAUCUUACUGGUAGCAGCAAAGGGAACUGAAAUUAUAAUGUAUAUAAUAUAUUAUAUUGUAUCUAAUUUUUUAUAUAAUUUUGAUUGGAUAAUUGAUUGGAUAAUUGAUGGGAAAAACGAUCUCUGGAUACUACAGCUAGUUGUGGGAACUAUAGUAGGAGCAACUAUUGCUAUUAUAUAUAUUGUAAUUAUACGACGUAACCUGGAACUAGUUGAAAUACCCAUAGAUGGUUUUAAUGAAAAUGACGCCCAUAUAGUCCAGAAUGGGCAUGCCAUAUUCCCGAUUGAAAAUUGAAGCACCAAAUGGUGCUAAAGAAUGAUGACAUUAUAUAUCGGUUUCCGAAAAAAUUACAUUGAAUUCGCAAAUAUUAUAGCAUUAUUGAUAUAUACUUUUAACGCUAUUUUACAUAUGUUGAUGGAAACCAUUUUUCACUUUACAAUGACUUGACAAUGAUGACAGUGAAUUGCUGCAUGUGUAUGCGUAUGCAAAUUUAUAACAUGUUUCGAUAAAAAAUUUUUAAAUCUGAUAUGUAUACUGACAUAAUAUAGAAACAAUAUAUUAUAAACAUUAUAAACGUUAUAAAUGUUACGUUAUAAUGUAUGCAGUAUUGUAUUACAUAUUACUUAUAUAAUGACAUGAUACAUACAUAUACAUAUAACUUUAUGAUAUAUAUAUAUA